Sphaerodactylus townsendi is the source of this 1929-nucleotide long non-coding RNA. RefSeq lists it as uncharacterized. NCBI's taxonomy places the organism in Eukaryota, Metazoa, Chordata, Lepidosauria, Squamata, Sphaerodactylidae. The transcript has 2 exons. The record is from RefSeq and is a predicted model, not a curated record.
AGGGGAAUGCUGCGACCAAGACGGGGGUGUCCGGAUUUUGGAGUGGGGGGGACACACGCAGGGCAGCCCCUGGCCCGCGAUCCCGUAGAUCCCUCCUGGAUCCAGCGCUUGGGGAGGCGUCUCCCUGCCUUUGGACGGCGGCUCUGCCCUGUGGACUCCUCUGCCAAACGAAAUUGCACCAUCUAACUCCAGUGGGUGGGGACCUGGGUGCUUCCUUAAGCAGGCAGGAGAAGCGGCGAGCGGAGGGAAGGGAAAGGAGGCAAACCGCCGCGAUCCCGUGUCGACGCGAUCCCCCCCCCCGCGUUCAAGCCCCGCUGGCUCCGCUGCAGCCCUGCGCUCCGGGAAGUGUCAUCUGCUCCCACGUGGGCGAAAACUUUCGAGGGAUACUUUCGCUUCCAACUUGGACACUCGGCUAAGUGACAUCGGGGAGGGGAGGGGGAGAAAGCGCCGCUCUGCACCGGAUCCUCUCCCCACACCCUUCCCUUUCUGGAUGGGAAUGCCGCCCCCUCCCACAGUUGACACGGAUUCUACCCCUCCACCCCCCAUUCCUCCCCCCCCCCAGCAUGGAGGAUCUCGCAAGACCGUAUGUGGACACUGUUUUUUUUUUUCUUUCCUUAGGGGUGGGCCCCCUCCCUCUUUCUCUCUCUUUGGUCCCCCCACCCCACCCCGUGCAUUUUUUGUUCCCUCCACUUCAAGACGAUCUGGUAAGGCGCGAGCGAUUCCACCCCAGAGCCGGCUCUUUCCAUUGACACAAGGGCUCUAUUUCUGUGAAGCACUUCUUGAUAAACGAUCCAGGACCUGAUGCCAACUAUUACAAGUCACCUACCCACAAUGGAGACCAUGCUACACAUGUGCUGCUACACUCAUGUUACACUUUAAGUGUCCUUCCAUGAAAGAAUGCAGUUUUCAAGUCCUUCAUUUCUUAGUUCCAACGAGCACAUGGAUGCAACAAUAUUAACUGAGCCCUUCCUGGUUCCUGAUUUAACCUUCUAACUACGGCUGAACACAUGCGUAAACCAAAGGAUGCAGUCAAAUAUGGAUGUGAUUUCAUCCCUUGGGAACAACCAAUAAUACAGUUUGAUGGCUUUAGGGGGGCACUCACCUUUAUUUCAAUAAUGGCUACUUCUGAGUAAUGAAAAAUAGCCCAACCUAUCACCCCCACCCCUGCACAUUGCCAAGUUUUGUCCUGUCCUAGAAAGAGGAUUUUAAAAAGCAGAAAUCUGGAGAGGCAGCAUAGAAUAUGGUCUAAAUAAAUAAAUAAUCAAACAGAAUAUGAACAAAGAAGAGCACCAGAAAUGAAGCUGUCCGCUACGCAGCACAGAGUAAAAUUCUACAAAAUCAAGGGUUUGGGGAAAUAAAAUGCCCACUGCAGAGCUUUUUGCAAUCUUUUCCUGGGUCUUCUGGGGCAGUGAUUCCCAACCUUUACAGGUAACCCACCAGUCCAAAUGUACUUAGCAUGGUGGUUCCUAAUAAAGGCCCCUUCUGCACAUGCAGAAUAAUGCACUUUCAAUCCACUUUCAACGCACUUUGUAGUUGGAUUUUACUGUGUGAAAUAGCAAAAUCCACUUGCAAACAAUUGUGAAAGUUGACUGAAAGUGUAUUAUUCUGCAUGUGCAGAAGGGGCCGUAGGAUGCACAAAUCAAUGCAAUAGCAAAAACCCAAGAUCCAUUAUCACAGGCUUUGUGGGGAGGGCAUUCCAAAGACAGGGUGCCACCACAGAGAGGACCCUAUACUGCAUCAGCACUCUAAAGACCAGGCAUCCAGAACAGGGACUCCGAAGUUAUUAAUUAAGGGAGAAGGUUCAUAUGAAAUCCCCUCCUAACCGUGACAAGAAAUUAUCUCCGGCAUUUGCCGAGCGCCAAAUGGGUUGGAAUAACAGCGAGCCAAAAAUAGCUGUCCUUUUUAUUUUCAAUAAACGUUAUUUAUUUA